This 253-nucleotide ribosomal RNA is filed under the name uncultured bacterium. Its description in RNAcentral is "partial 16S ribosomal RNA". It matches the Rfam family "Bacterial small subunit ribosomal RNA", at positions 524 to 776 of the family's 1533-position model. The record is from RNAcentral.
UACGGAGGGUGCUAGCGUUGUUCGGAAUCACUGGGCGUAAAGCGCGUGUAGGCGGCCCACUAAGUCUGAUGUGAAAGCCCGGGGCUCACCCCCGGAAGUGCAUUGGAAACUGGUGGACUCGAGUCCCGGAGAGGAGAGUGGAAUUCCUGGUGUAGCGGUGAAAUGCGUAGAUAUCAGGAGGAACACCGGUGGUGAAGGCGGCUCUCUGGACGGUGACUGACGCUGAGACGCGAAAGCGUGGGGAGCAAACAGG